GACGUAGGGCGCGAGCGUUGUCCGGAAUUAUUGGGCGUAAAGAGCUCGUAGGCGGCUUGUUGCGUCGACUGUGAAAACCCGUGGCUCAACCAUGUGGUCUGCAGUCGAUACGGGCAGGCUUGAGUUCGGUAGGGGAGACUGGAAUUCCUGGUGUAGCGGUGAAAUGCGCAGAUAUCAGGAGGAACACCUAUUGCGAAGGCAGCUCGCUGGGACGUUACUGACGCUGAGACGCGAAAGCGUGGGGAGCAAACAGG
This 254-nucleotide ribosomal RNA is filed under the name uncultured bacterium. RNAcentral describes it as "partial 16S ribosomal RNA". It matches the Rfam family "Bacterial small subunit ribosomal RNA", at positions 524 to 776 of the family's 1533-position model. The record is from RNAcentral.